This 566-nucleotide long non-coding RNA is filed under the name Pan troglodytes (chimpanzee). RNAcentral's name for it is "lincRNA". Lineage: Eukaryota; Metazoa; Chordata; Mammalia; Primates; Hominidae. The record is from RNAcentral.
AUCUUAUAGAUUGAGUAUAUGAAGCAAGAUACAAAUUACUCCAUUUAUAUAAAUGUAAAAAAAAAAAACAAAACAAAACCUAGGCAGCAUAGCCAAACCCUGUCUGCACAAAAAUGUAAAAUAAAAUUAGUCAGGUAUGGUGGAGGAUGAGUCCUAGCUACUUAGGAGGCUGAGGUGUGUGGAUCACUUGAGCCAGGAGUUCAAGGCUGCAGUGAGUCAUGACAGGACAGAGGGAGAUCUGUCUACUGUCUGUCCCUAUAGAAAAAGAAAAAAUCUCCUGGUGUCUUUUCCUGAAUUUGGUAGACAGGAUGCCAGAGGAAAUGCAUCAAUGCGGAGGGACAGAAACAGCAGUGUGGCCUGGGAAAGGUCAGGCUUUGACACAAGGAAUUUAGAGAAGAAAAAAGGUGUGGUCUGCUGUUUCAUUCAGUCCAUUAUCUGUUGAGCAUUCCUUUUUUUAUUCAAAUGGAUCAGAAGAAAGGAGCUUGAAAUGGACAGUUAUCUCUGGUUUAUCUGGCUGCAGAGUGCAGAGAUGAUUCUCUUUCAGGAUGGGAGAGGGGGUGGGGAGG